Molecule: ribosomal RNA, 115 nt
Filed under: Legionella beliardensis
Lineage: Bacteria; Pseudomonadati; Pseudomonadota; Gammaproteobacteria; Legionellales; Legionellaceae
Source: RNAcentral
UGGCGACCAUAGCCGUUUGGAACCACCUGAUCCAUCUCGAACUCAGAAGUGAAACAGACGUACGCCGAUGAUAGUGUGGGGCUUCCCCAUGUGAAAGUAGGUCAUCGCCAGGGCU